Molecule: non-coding RNA, 148 nt
Filed under: Pan troglodytes (chimpanzee)
Lineage: Eukaryota; Metazoa; Chordata; Mammalia; Primates; Hominidae
Source: Rfam by way of RNAcentral
GCUGGGCGUGGUGGCGCACACCUGUAAUCCCAGCUACUCAGAAGGCUGAGACAGGAGAAUUGCUUGAGCCAGGGAGCUGAAGGCUGCAGCGUGCAGAGAGCACGCCACUGUACCCCAGCCUGGGCAAUAGAGCAAGAUUCUGUCUCAA